Molecule: long non-coding RNA, 400 nt
Filed under: Cyanistes caeruleus (blue tit)
Lineage: Eukaryota; Metazoa; Chordata; Aves; Passeriformes; Paridae
Description: lncRNA (ENSCCEG00000000047.1)
Source: RNAcentral
CAUUGCAUUUAUUUUGUAUUUAGAUGCCUGUUUGAACAGACAGCACCCACCACAAGUAUUUCAGCUUGCUGUGGGGACCUCGUGCCCCUGAGACUUUCAGCUUCUGUCAGGGAUGACAAUGGAAAACACCUUUUUCUGCCUUUGUCCUCCAAAAGAGCUCCACAGAGACCACGAAAUCAAGUCACUCAAGGUGUCCCCCUGAGAAUUAAACCUUCUCAUCUUGUUUUCAUAGUUUCUAGACACUUUCUCAGGAAAGUAACUAUAAACACAGAUGUUUAUACAUUCCAUUAAAGAAAUGUCUUUUGAUGGAUGUUUCUCAUGACCAGUGUGGUUGGGAAGGUGGUAACCUGACUAUCCAAUCCCUGGUCGUUGUCAAGAAUCUAUAAAUACUGGAACCACA